ACUGCUGCCCUUCGCCGCCGCCCCCGGCAGUGCUCGCUCUCUCUAGGCCCCAUGUAAAUCGCUGUGUUUGCUGGGGAGCCCUUAGUUCAAUUCUCAGGGGAUUAGGGCCAUUGAGAUUCUUAAUCAAUUGCUGGGUUCCACGCGAUCCUCUUUAGAAACUUUUUGCUUAAUAUGCAUCUAGAGACAUGCACGGCCCGCCUGCAGCGCUGGAGCCGAUGGAGUGGAGCCUGGGAGGCUGCAGGCGACCCCCAGGCUUCUAAACAGCAACGUCAGUUUAAUUAUUGCAGAUCCGUCACAGCUGCCAAGUCCUCUCUGUCUUCGUUGUUGUUAACGGGGAAACUUGCCGCCCGGUGGCUUUGCUUCAGGCGGAAGUCCGCGUGCUUUGAUACCCUCAGGGGGCACUUACAGGCUAGGUGGACACAGGGCUAGGGGUAAGAAUGCAGCAGUGAACAUGGUUCCUGCACUCAUGAAGCAAAUGUAUCCACUGUGGUACAAAAGAGACUGUAAAAAACAAACCCAAAUGGACAACAGGAAAAGACAGAAGCUGAUUGAGGUCCCAGCUUGGUAACAGUUUGAAGAGUUGCAGGACUGGCUGGAUGAGUACUGGCUGCAGCAAAUCAGGCUGCCAGGAUUCUUUAUGGCUGUUUCUGCUUCCACUACAGCUGAGUCAGAAAGGUCGCUGCCCCGUGGUGGCACUAGACGCAGUGGACCUGGCAAGCAAAUGUUUCCGCUAUUAGCUCUCAGCAACAGAGACUCAUUUAUGGUCACCUUGGAAAUCUGGGCUUAUCGAUCUACAGCCCAAGUCUGCUGAGAAGCUGGAGCUUACUAAAGGGGAAACCUGAGAGCUGUUCAAGCCCCAAAUAUUUUCCACUUCUGCGUCACCUCUGCUGUCUGUUAGCAGAGUGGAGGAGAAAAUACACAGCACAAACAACGUGAAAAAAUAGUUACUCUAUUCAUUAAAAGCUGUAACUUCCAGAUUGGACUUGAGAAGCAAUUAAGCAACAGAGGAACCUCAUCUACUAUCUGUAUUCAGGCAUGCUCAUGAGAACACGCUGCUCCAGCUGGACUUAGAGGAACCCGGUGCAUCACAGGCAUUCCUGACAGAGUCUCGUGGUCCUGCUGGUCCACUCAGUGGUACUCAGUCCUCCUCAUUCUCGGGGAUAGGUUCCAAGACCCCCAGGGGA
Molecule: long non-coding RNA, 1184 nt
Filed under: Homo sapiens (human)
Lineage: Eukaryota; Metazoa; Chordata; Mammalia; Primates; Hominidae
Description: non-protein coding lnc-C9orf66-15:7
Source: RNAcentral